RNAcentral lists this ribosomal RNA (308 nucleotides) under uncultured bacterium. RNAcentral describes it as "partial 16S ribosomal RNA". It matches the Rfam family "Bacterial small subunit ribosomal RNA", at positions 505 to 807 of the family's 1533-position model. The record is from RNAcentral.
GAGACAGCAGUCGCCACGGUAAUACGGAGGGGGCUAGCGUUAUUCGGAAUUACUGGGCGUAAAGCGCACGUAGGCGGCUUCGCAAGUCAGAGGUGAAAGCCUGGGGCUCAACUCCAGAAUUGCCUUUGAGACUGCGUCGCUCGAAUCCGGGAGAGGUGAGUGGAAUUCCGAGUGUAGAGGUGAAAUUCGUAGAUAUUCGGAAGAACACCAGUGGCGAAGGCGGCUCACUGGACCGGCAUUGACGCUGAGGUGCGAAAGCGUGGGGAGCAAACAGGAUUAGAUACCCGCGUAGUCCCUGUCUCUUAUAC